This 253-nucleotide ribosomal RNA is filed under the name uncultured bacterium. RNAcentral's name for it is "partial 16S ribosomal RNA". It matches the Rfam family "Bacterial small subunit ribosomal RNA", at positions 524 to 776 of the family's 1533-position model. The record is from RNAcentral.
UACGUAGGGGGCAAGCGUUGUUCGGAAUCACUGGGCGUAAAGGGCGCGUAGGUGGCCCGACAAGUCACUGGUGAAAGCUCGACGCUCAACGUCGAGUCGGCCAGUGAUACUGUUGGGCUGGAGCACUGUAGAGGCUCAUGGAAUUCCGGGUGUAGCGGUGGAAUGCGUAGAGAUCCGGAAGAACACCGGUGGCGAAGGCGGUGAGCUGGGCAGUAGCUGACACUGAGGCGCGACAGCGUGGGGAGCAAACAGG